RNAcentral lists this ribosomal RNA (806 nucleotides) under uncultured bacterium. RNAcentral's name for it is "bacterial SSU rRNA". It matches the Rfam family "Bacterial small subunit ribosomal RNA", at positions 1 to 810 of the family's 1533-position model. The record is from RNAcentral.
UUCGCCCUUAGAGUUUGAUCCUGGCUCAGGACUAACGCUGGCGGCGUGCCUAAUACAUGCAAGUCGAACGGUCGUGCGUUUGUAGCAAUAUGGACGUACGAUAGUGGCGAACGGGUGAGUAACACGUGGAAAACCUACCCUCGAGCGGGGGAUAACUCCGGGAAACUGGGGCUAAUACCGCAUGACAUCCCAACCUGGCAUCGGGAGGGGAUCAAAGCCGAAAGGCACUUGAGGAUGGUUCCGCGGCCUAUCAGCUAGUUGGCGGGGUAACGGCCCACCAAGGCGACGACGGGUAGCCGGCCUGAGAGGGCGAUCGGCCACAAGGGGACUGAGACACGGCCCCUACUCCUACGGGAGGCAGCAGUAGGGAAUUUUGCUCAAUGGGGGAAACCCUGAAGCAGCGACGCCGCGUGGGCGACGAAAUCCUUCGGGAUGUAAAGCCCUUUUAACCGGGACGAAAUACAUGACGGUACCGGUGGAAUAAGCCUCGGCUAACUCCGUGCCAGCAGCCGCGGUAAGACGGGGGAGGCAAGCGUUGUCCGGAAUCACUGGGUGUAAAGGGCGUGUAGGCGGGCCGGCUAGUCGGUUGUUAAAUCUCUCCGCUCAACGGAGAAGCUGCGGCCGAUACUUCCGGUCUUGAGUGCGGCAGGGGAGGAUGGAAUUCCUGGUGUAGCGGUGAAAUGCGUAGAUAUCAGGAGGAACACCGGUGGCGAAGGCGGUCCUCUGGGCCUGCACUGACGCUGAGUGCGCGAAAGCUGGGGUAGCAAACAGAAUUAGAUACUCUGGUAGUCCCAGCCCUAAACGAU